AUUGAACGCUGGCGGCAGGCCUAACACAUGCAAGUCGAGCGGAUGAAGGGAGCUUGCUCCUGGAUUCAGCGGCGGACGGGUGAGUAAUGCCUAGGAAUCUGCCUGGUAGUGGGGGAUAACGUCCGGAAACGGGCGCUAAUACCGCAUACUUCCUGAGGGAGAAAGUGGGGGAUCUUCGGACCUCACGCUAUCAGAUGAGCCUAGGUCGGAUUAGCUAGUUGGUGGGGUAAAGGCCUACCAAGGCGACGAUCCGUAACUGGUCUGAGAGGAUGAUCAGUCACACUGGAACUGAGACACGGUCCAGACUCCUACGGGAGGCAGCAGUGGGGAAUAUUGGACAAUGGGCGAAAGCCUGAUCCAGCCAUGCCGCGUGUGUGAAGAAGGUCUUCGGAUUGUAAAGCACUUUAAGUUGGGAGGAAGGGCAGUAAGUUAAUACCUUGCUGUUUUGACGUUACCAACAGAAUAAGCACCGGCUAACUUCGUG
RNAcentral lists this ribosomal RNA (484 nucleotides) under uncultured bacterium. RNAcentral's name for it is "partial 16S ribosomal RNA". It matches the Rfam family "Bacterial small subunit ribosomal RNA", at positions 30 to 507 of the family's 1533-position model. The record is from RNAcentral.